RNAcentral lists this transfer RNA (95 nucleotides) under Methylobacterium sp. RNAcentral's name for it is "tRNA-Ile". The record is from RNAcentral. RNAcentral also lists the same sequence under 1 other name. Lineage: Bacteria; Pseudomonadati; Pseudomonadota; Alphaproteobacteria; Hyphomicrobiales; Methylobacteriaceae.
CGCGCGCUGCUGGGGGAGGACGUGGGCGGUGCUAAUGGCACCGACUGACGCGAUCCGGCCCGACCGGACCGGAGGUUCAUCUCGUCCACGUACGC